UAGGGAAUCUUCGGCAAUGAGGGGAACCCUGACCGAGCAACGCCGCGUGAGUGAAGAAGGUUUUCGGAUCGUAAAGCUCUGUUGUUAAGGAAGAACGAGUGUGAGAAUGGAAAGUUCAUACUGUGACGGUACUUAACCAGAAAGGGACGGCUAACUACGUGCCAGCAGCCGCGGUAAUACGUAGGUCCCGAGCGUUGUCCGGAUUUAUUGGGCGUAAAGCGAGCGCAGGCGGUUAGAUAAGUCUGAAGUUAAAGGCAGUGGCUCAACCAUUGUAGGCUUUGGAAACUGUUUAACUUGAGUGCAGAAGGGGAGAGUGGAAUUCCAUGUGUAGCGGUGAAAUGCGUAGAUAUAUGGAGGAACACCGGUGGCGAAAGCGGCUCUCUGGUCUGUAACUGACGCUGAGGCUCGAAAGCGUGGGGAGCGAACAGG
RNAcentral lists this ribosomal RNA (429 nucleotides) under Bacteroidota bacterium. RNAcentral's name for it is "Bacteroidetes bacterium partial 16S ribosomal RNA". It matches the Rfam family "Bacterial small subunit ribosomal RNA", at positions 355 to 776 of the family's 1533-position model. The record is from RNAcentral. Lineage: Bacteria; Pseudomonadati; Bacteroidota.